AGAGUUUGAUCAUGGCUCAGGAUGAACGCUGGCGGCAUGCCUAACACAUGCAAGUCGAACGAAGUUACCGGAGCAGCGGACUUAGGUUCAACGCACCGACUAACUUAGUGGCGGAUGGGUGAGUAACACGUGAGCAACCAACCUUUUACUCGGGAAUAACAUGGGGAAACCCAUGCUAAUACCUGAUAUUAUCAAGAAAUGGCAUCAUAAUUUGAUGAAAGAUUUAUCGGUAAAAGACGGGCUCGCGUCCGAUUAGCUAGUUGGUAAGGUAAUGGCUUACCAAGGCCACGAUCGGUAGCCGGACUGAGAGGUCGACCGGCCACAUUGGGACUGAGAACGGCCCAGACUCCUACGGGAGGCAGCAGUGGGGAAUAUUGGGCAAUGGACGCAAGUCUGACCCAGCGAUGCCGCGUGAAGGAUGGAAGGCCCUCGGGUUGUAAACUUCUUUAGACAGGGAAGAAAGAAAUGACAUUACCUGUAGAAUAAGCCACGGCUAACUACGUGCCAGCAGCCGCGGUAAUACGUAGGUGGCGAGCGUUAUCCGGAAUUACUGGGUGUAAAGGGCGCGUAGGCGGGUAUGCAAGUUGGAUGUGAAAUUCCGGGGCUUAACUCCGGAUUGUCAUCUAAAACUGUGUAUCUUGAGUGUCAGAGGGGAAAGUGGAAUUCCUAGUGGAGUGGUAAAAUGCGUAGAUAUUAGGAGGAACAUCGGUGGCGAAGGCGACUUUCUGGCUGACAACUGACGCUGAGGCGCGAAAGCGUGGGUAGCGAACAGGAUUAGAUACCCUGGUAGUCCACGCCGUAAACGCUGAUUACUAGGUGUAGGGGGUAUAGACUCCCUCUGUGCCGCAGUUAACGCAUUAAGUAAUCCACCUGGGGAGUACGGCCGCAAGGUUAAAACUCAAAGGAAUUGACGG
This 914-nucleotide ribosomal RNA is filed under the name uncultured bacterium. Its description in RNAcentral is "bacterial SSU rRNA". It matches the Rfam family "Bacterial small subunit ribosomal RNA", at positions 8 to 916 of the family's 1533-position model. The record is from RNAcentral.